UGCUGGGAUGUGAUGGGGAGCGAAAUUUAGUAGCGAAGUAGCUGAUUUCACACUGUCAAGAAAAGUCUCUAUCGAGGUUAAAGGUACCCGUACCGUAAACCGACACAGGUGGGUGAGGAGAGUAUCCGAAGGCCCGCGAGAGAACUGUUGUUAAGGAACUCGGCAAAAUGACCCCGUAACUUAGGGAUAAGGGGUGCCACCAUCCGGUGGCCGCAGAGAAUAG
Molecule: ribosomal RNA, 223 nt
Filed under: Clostridioides difficile
Lineage: Bacteria; Bacillati; Bacillota; Clostridia; Peptostreptococcales; Peptostreptococcaceae
Description: partial 23S ribosomal RNA
Rfam family: Bacterial large subunit ribosomal RNA
Source: RNAcentral